GGCGUAAAGCGCAUGCAGGUGGUCUAUCAAGUCAGAGGUGAAAUCCCGGAGCUUAACUUCGGAAUUGCCUUUGAAGCUGUUGGACUAGAGUACUGUAGAGGGGGGUAGAAUUUC
RNAcentral lists this ribosomal RNA (114 nucleotides) under uncultured bacterium. RNAcentral's name for it is "partial 16S ribosomal RNA". It matches the Rfam family "Bacterial small subunit ribosomal RNA", at positions 557 to 670 of the family's 1533-position model. The record is from RNAcentral.